AUACGGAGGGGGCUAGCGUUGUUCGGAAUUACUGGGCGUAAAGCGCGCGUAGGCGGACCUGUAAGUCGGGGGUGAAAGCCCGAGGCUCAACCUCGGAACUGCCUUCGAUACUACAGGUCUUGAGUCCGAGAGAGGUGAGUGGAAUUCCUAGUGUAGAGGUGAAAUUCGUAGAUACUAGGAAGAACACCAGUGGCGAAGGCGGCUCACUGGCUCGGUACUGACGCUGAGGUGCGAAAGCGUGGGGAGCAAACAGGAUUAGAAACCCCAGUAGUCC
RNAcentral lists this ribosomal RNA (274 nucleotides) under uncultured bacterium. Its description in RNAcentral is "partial 16S ribosomal RNA". It matches the Rfam family "Bacterial small subunit ribosomal RNA", at positions 523 to 796 of the family's 1533-position model. The record is from RNAcentral.